GCCGGGGUAGCUCAGAUGGUAGAGCAGAGGCCUGAAAAGCCUUGUGUCAGGUGUUCGAUUCACCUCCCCGGCACCA
This 76-nucleotide transfer RNA is filed under the name bacterium. RNAcentral's name for it is "tRNA-Phe". It matches the Rfam family "tRNA". From Rfam's summary of the family: Transfer RNA (tRNA) molecules are approximately 80 nucleotides in length. Their secondary structure includes four short double-helical elements and three loops (D, anti-codon, and T loops). The record is from RNAcentral.